RNAcentral lists this ribosomal RNA (460 nucleotides) under uncultured bacterium. RNAcentral describes it as "partial 16S ribosomal RNA". It matches the Rfam family "Bacterial small subunit ribosomal RNA", at positions 338 to 795 of the family's 1533-position model. The record is from RNAcentral.
CCUACGGGGGGCAGCAGUGAGGAAUAUUGGUCAAUGGACGAGAGUCUGAACGAGCCAAGUAGCGUGAAGGAUGAAUGCCCUAUGGGUGGUAAACUUCUUUUAUAUGGGAAUAAAAUGUUCAACGUGUGGGAUUUUGUAUGUACAAUAUGAAUAAGGGACGGCUAACUCCGUGCCAGCAGCCGCGGUAAGACGGAGGAUCCGAGCGUUAUCCGGAUUUGUUGGGUUUAAAGGGAGCGUAGGUGGAUUGGUAAGUUAGUUGUGAAAGUUGGCGGGUCAACCGGAAAAAUGCAGUUGAAACUGGCAGUCGUGAGUACAGGAGAGGUGGGUGGAAUUCGUGGUGUAGCGGUGAAAUGCUUAGAUAUAACGAAGAACUCCGAUGGCGAAGGCAGCUCACUGGACUGCAACUGACACUGAGGCUCGAAAGUGUGGGGAGCAAACAGGAUUAGAUACCCUUGUAGUC